UGGCGUUUGAUGGAAAUUUUAUUUAGGUCAUUUUUAAAAAUCUGUUUAAAUUCUUAGUUUAUCAAUAAAGAAUAUUUUUAGACAUACAUUUUCAACGAGUAAUCGAUCAUGGCAGAUGACCAGCCAACUGACAUGUCUAGCGAAUACGCCAGACUCGCAUCAUUUGGAGGAAACACCAUGGAUGUAGCCGCUGUCAUGUCAACAUCAACAUCACCGGGAUGCUGGAACCUGAGAUAUAAUUCACCAAUGAAGUGUGCUAAAGCUGAUUUCUACUGCGUUCCUGGCUCAAACGGUGAUGUAUUGUCUUGUUUUGCAUGUUCGGCAGAGUGGAUGAAUCCACAAGGAGAAUCUCCGUUGGCCGUACACCGAGUCCUUAGUAAGGACCUUAGUCCAAACUGCCCGUAUCUGAAAAGUGCCACACCAUUUUCGACUGCAUCUCCUCUGAUUUUCCCAAAAAGUCAUAUUAAUAAUGCCAGAAGAUGCUUGUUUCCACUGGAUAAUGAAAACAUGAACUUUACCACAGAAAAUAAUAAUUAUAUAUAUAUAAGUUCCAGGACCAUCAACAAGUAAAAAACAAUCAAACUUUUACCCCACUUGGUGGAUCAGAUUUUUUGUUUGAAAGCAGGAGAUUCCUGACAUUUGACAAUCUGACAUUUGACAAUCUGACAAAUGAAAACAUGCUGAAAGCAUCUGAAUGGGCAGCAAGUGGAUUUAUUUUCCAACAAAGCAAUAUGGUGCAGUGUGUUUUCUGUGGACUAACGUUACUAUUUACAACCGAGUUGUCUACCUGUAAGUUACAGCAUGAACAAGAAGCAGCACAUUGUCCACUUGUGAUGAAACAUGAUGUGGGGAACAUCACAAUACAAAUGGAAAAUGCUGUCAACUGGAUGAAAGAAACAAAACAGCUGUCUUCGGUGGAGAUGUCACUUGUGUUUGUUCAUCCACAGUUCGAAGACAUUAAUAAACGACGAGAUACAUUCCGAGAGUGGCCGUCUCAAAUGUAUCAGAAACCUUAAGAACUUUGUGAAGCAGGCUUUUACUACACAGGCUGUGCUGACAAGGUUGUUUGCUUUUGCUGUGGGCUGGGUUUGAAGAGUUGGAGAGAUCAGGCUGACCCGUGGAUACAACAUGCCAGGUUGUCUCCACAGUGCAGGUACCUGAAAGAAAUCAGAGGAAACAACUUUCUACGAGAUGCACAACAAGCAGAGGUGCAAGCUGAUUUCGACCCACCAAAAACUUUUCAAGAGGGU
Gigantopelta aegis is the source of this 1250-nucleotide long non-coding RNA. RefSeq lists it as uncharacterized. NCBI's taxonomy places the organism in Eukaryota, Metazoa, Mollusca, Gastropoda, Neomphalida, Peltospiridae. The transcript is spliced from 3 exons. The record is from RefSeq and is a predicted model, not a curated record.